Molecule: ribosomal RNA, 449 nt
Filed under: uncultured bacterium
Lineage: Bacteria
Description: bacterial SSU rRNA
Rfam family: Bacterial small subunit ribosomal RNA
Source: RNAcentral
GAGCGGUAACAGGUGUAGCAAUACAUGCUGACGAGCGGCGAACGGGUGAGUAAUGCUUGGAAUCUUCCCAGUAGUGGGGAAUAACCAGUCGAAAGAUUGGCUAAUACCGCAUACGUCUGUAAAGGGAAAGCGGGGGCUCGUAAGACCUCGCGCUAUUGGAUGAGCCAAAGUCGGAUUAGCUAGUUGGUGGGGUAAUGGCCUACCAAGGCGACAAUCCGUAGCUGGUCUGAGAGGACGACCAGCCACACCGGAACUGAGACACGGUCCGGACUCCUACGGGAGGCAGCAGUGGGGAAUAUUGGACAAUGGGGGCAACCCUGAUCCAGCGACGCCGCGUGUGUGAAGAAGGCCCGCGGGUUGUAAAGCACUUUUAGUGGGGACAAAAAGCUACGGAUUAACACCCUGUGGUCUUGAUUUAACCCACAGAAAAAGCACCGGCUAACUCUGUG